Molecule: ribosomal RNA, 909 nt
Filed under: Escherichia coli
Lineage: Bacteria; Pseudomonadati; Pseudomonadota; Gammaproteobacteria; Enterobacterales; Enterobacteriaceae
Description: partial 23S ribosomal RNA
Rfam family: Bacterial large subunit ribosomal RNA
Source: RNAcentral
CGUCUGGAAAGGCGCGCGAUACAGGGUGACAGCCCCGUACACAAAAAUGCACAUGCUGUGAGCUCGAUGAGUAGGGCGGGACACGUGGUAUCCUGUCUGAAUAUGGGGGGACCAUCCUCCAAGGCUAAAUACUCCUGACUGACCGAUAGUGAACCAGUACCGUGAGGGAAAGGCGAAAAGAACCCCGGCGAGGGGAGUGAAAAAGAACCUGAAACCGUGUACGUACAAGCAGUGGGAGCACGCUUAGGCGUGUGACUGCGUACCUUUUGUAUAAUGGGUCAGCGACUUAUAUUCUGUAGCAAGGUUAACCGAAUAGGGGAGCCGAAGGGAAACCGAGUCUUAACUGGGCGUUAAGUUGCAGGGUAUAGACCCGAAACCCGGUGAUCUAGCCAUGGGCAGGUUGAAGGUUGGGUAACACUAACUGGAGGACCGAACCGACUAAUGUUGAAAAAUUAGCGGAUGACUUGUGGCUGGGGGUGAAAGGCCAAUCAAACCGGGAGAUAGCUGGUUCUCCCCGAAAGCUAUUUAGGUAGCGCCUCGUGAACUCAUCUCCGGGGGUAGAGCACUGUUUCGGCAAGGGGGUCAUCCCGACUUACCAACCCGAUGCAAACUGCGAAUACCGGAGAAUGUUAUCACGGGAGACACACGGCGGGUGCUAACGUCCGUCGUGAAGAGGGAAACAACCCAGACCGCCAGCUAAGGUCCCAAAGUCAUGGUUAAGUGGGAAACGAUGUGGGAAGGCCCAGACAGCCAGGAUGUUGGCUUAGAAGCAGCCAUCAUUUAAAGAAAGCGUAAUAGCUCACUGGUCGAGUCGGCCUGCGCGGAAGAUGUAACGGGGCUAAACCAUGCACCGAAGCUGCGGCAGCGACGCUUAUGCGUUGUUGGGUAGGGGAGCGUUCUGUAAGCCUG